Non-coding RNA from Marasmius oreades (fairy-ring Marasmius), 91 nucleotides. The record is from the annotation of a RefSeq genome assembly. Lineage: Eukaryota; Fungi; Basidiomycota; Agaricomycetes; Agaricales; Marasmiaceae.
GGCCUGAUGGUCUAGUGGUAUGAUUCCUUGUUAGGGUGGAAGUCCUGUGUACCACUUGAGGAGGUCCCGGGUUCAAUUCCCCGUUUCGUCU